CGAGCCGACCGGGCGGCCGCGGUACCUUGCAGCCGCCUCGCGGCGGCCAAGGGCUGAGGAACGUCCGGGCUCCACAGAGCAGGGCGGUGGCUAACGGCCACCCGGGGUGACCCGCGGGACAGUGCCACAGAGAGCAGACCGCCCACCGGAUGACGGUGGGUAAGGGUGAAAGGGUGGGGUAAGAGCCCACCAGCGCGACGGGCGACCGCCGCGGCUCGGUAAACCCCGCCCGGAGCAAGACCGCACAGCUGGCGCCUGAAGGCUGCUCGCCCGAGCCAGCGGGUAGGUCGCAUGAGGUCAUUGGCAACAAUGGUCCAAGAUGAAUGGUCGCCACCGCCAAGCCGGUAACGGCGGGCGGCAACAGAACCCGGCGUACAGGUCGGCUCGUCCG
This 391-nucleotide RNase P RNA is filed under the name Actinomyces viscosus. RNAcentral describes it as "RNase P RNA component class A". It matches the Rfam family "Bacterial RNase P class A". From Rfam's summary of the family: Ribonuclease P (RNase P) is a ubiquitous endoribonuclease, found in archaea, bacteria and eukarya as well as chloroplasts and mitochondria. Its best characterised activity is the generation of mature 5'-ends of tRNAs by cleaving the 5'-leader elements of precursor-tRNAs. Cellular RNase Ps are ribonucleoproteins. The record is from RNAcentral. Lineage: Bacteria; Bacillati; Actinomycetota; Actinomycetes; Actinomycetales; Actinomycetaceae.